UUUAAUUGAAGAGUUUGAUCAUGGCUCAGAUUGAACGCUGGCGGCAGGCCUAACACAUGCAAGUCGAGCGGCAGCACAGAGGAACUUGUUCCUUGGGUGGCGAGCGGCGGACGGGUGAGUAAUGCCUGGGAAAUUGCCCUGAUGUGGGGGAUAACCAUUGGAAACGAUGGCUAAUACCGCAUGAUGCCCUUGUUUAUAAUGAACAGGGGCCAAAGAGGGGG
Molecule: ribosomal RNA, 221 nt
Filed under: Vibrio navarrensis
Lineage: Bacteria; Pseudomonadati; Pseudomonadota; Gammaproteobacteria; Vibrionales; Vibrionaceae
Description: partial 16S ribosomal RNA
Rfam family: Bacterial small subunit ribosomal RNA
Source: RNAcentral